AUUGAACGCUGGCGGCAGGCUUAACACAUGCAAGUCGAGCGGAGUGAUGGUGCUUGCACUAUCACUUAGCGGCGGACGGGUGAGUAAUGCUUAGGAAUCUGCCUAUUAGUGGGGGACAACAUCUCGAAAGGGAUGCUAAUACCGCAUACGUCCUACGGGAGAAAGCAGGGGAUCACUUGUGACCUUGCGCUAAUAGAUGAGCCUAAGUCGGAUCAGCUAGUUGGUGGGGUAAAGGCCUACCAAGGCGACGAUCUGUAGCGGGUCUGAGAGGAUGAUCCGCCACACUGGGACUGAGGCACGGCCCAGACUCCUACGGGAGGCAGCAGUGGGGAAUAUUGGACAAUGGGGGGAACCCUGAUCCAGCCAUGCCGCGUGUGUGAAGAAGGCCUUAUGGUUGUAAAGCACUUUAAGCGAGGAGGAGGCUCUUUUGGUUAAUACCCAAGAUGAGUGGACGUUACUCGCAGAAUAAGCACCGGCUAACUCUGUGCCAGCCGCCGCAGUAA
This 503-nucleotide ribosomal RNA is filed under the name uncultured bacterium. Its description in RNAcentral is "partial 16S ribosomal RNA". It matches the Rfam family "Bacterial small subunit ribosomal RNA", at positions 30 to 523 of the family's 1533-position model. The record is from RNAcentral.